Molecule: unclassified non-coding RNA, 266 nt
Filed under: uncultured Russula
Lineage: Eukaryota; Fungi; Basidiomycota; Agaricomycetes; Russulales; Russulaceae
Description: sequence contains ITS2
Source: RNAcentral
AAUCAUCAAAAACCCUUUUCUGUUUACUGAAAAGGAUUUUUGGACUUGGAGGUUUAAUGCUUGCCUUUCACUUUUGAAAGUGAGCUCCUCUCAAACGAAUUAGUGGGGUCCGCUUUGUCGGUCCUUGACGUGAUAAAAUGUUUCUACGUUUUGGAUUUGGCACUGUCCCUUUGGAUUCCUGCUCCCAACUGUCCAACGGACAAACGAUGGUGCUCCGGUCGUCGCCGUCUACAUUGGCGGAGGAGGGCUGGACCCACAAAAGAAAA